CACCGCCCGUCACACCAUGGGAGUGGGUUGCAAAAGAAGUAGGUAGCUUAACCUUCGGGAGGGCGCUUACCACUUUGUGAUUCAUGACUGGGGUGAAGUCGUAACAAGGUAACCGUAGGGGAACCUGCGGUUGGAUCACCUCCUUACCUUAAAGAAGC
This 158-nucleotide ribosomal RNA is filed under the name Escherichia coli. RNAcentral's name for it is "partial 16S ribosomal RNA". It matches the Rfam family "Bacterial small subunit ribosomal RNA", at positions 1388 to 1533 of the family's 1533-position model. Lineage: Bacteria; Pseudomonadati; Pseudomonadota; Gammaproteobacteria; Enterobacterales; Enterobacteriaceae. RNAcentral also lists the same sequence under 4 other names. The record is from RNAcentral.